UAUCCUGGCUCAGGAUGAACGCUAGCUACAGGCUUAAUACAUGCAAGUCGAGGGGAAACGAUGAGAGAGCUUGCUCUCUUAGGCGUCGACCGGCGCACGGGUGAGUAACGCGUAUCCAACCUGCCUCUGACCAAGGGAUAACCCGUCGAAAGUCGGACUAAUACCUUAUGUAGUCGUCGGAAGUCAUCUGAUGACGACGAAAGAUUUCAUCGGUGAGAGAUGGGGGAUGCGUCUGAUUAGCUUGUUGGCGGGGUAACGGCCCACCAAGGCGACGAUCAGUAGGGGUUCUGAGAGGAAGGUCCCCCACAUUGGAACUGAGACACGGUCCAAACUCCUACGGGAGGCAGCAGUGAGGAAUAUUGGUCAAUGGGCGUAAGCCUGAACCAGCCAAGUAGCGUGCAGGAUGACGGCCCUAUGGGUUGUAAACUGCUUUUAUGCGGGGAUAAAGUGAGGGACGUGUCCCUCAUUGCAGGUACCGCAUGAAUAAGGACCGGCUAAUUCCGUG
Molecule: ribosomal RNA, 505 nt
Filed under: uncultured Prevotella sp.
Lineage: Bacteria; Pseudomonadati; Bacteroidota; Bacteroidia; Bacteroidales; Prevotellaceae
Description: bacterial SSU rRNA
Rfam family: Bacterial small subunit ribosomal RNA
Source: RNAcentral